CUUCUUUCUUUUUAAGUCGUAGGAACAGAAGCACCUACACUCUAACAGCCAGGCCCAAACUUGGCGUAUAAAUUUGCUCAUAUUUUGGUCAUUGGUCCUGAGACUUGCCUGGGCCAACUAGAUGUCAGGAACACAGUCCAUGGUCACUGGUCUCCCUCAUUUUUUAGGAGGAACAAAACAGAAACUAAUACUUUUUGGUUGUUCAUUUUGUGCCAGGUGCUGCCUAAGAGCUUUCUGUAAGAAUUAUGUCCUCACAGCAACUCUCUAAGAUAUAACUUUGAAAAUGUUAUUUCUGAUCCAUCAGCGUGGGGCUCCACAUAAGGAAAAUGGUUACAACGUGACAAGAAGCGAUUAGAUGUGAAAUGGCAUCUUUCAGGUGCUCCUCCCAGCUGCCUCAUCCUGUUUUUAGCUGAAAGGAGGCUGCUUCAGCAACAAAGAGCAUUUCAUAUGCAGACAUCCACUUUUUUUUUUAAACUGAAAUCUGAAUGUGGUGAGUCUGAACUAGAGGCUGGGGCAUGAUUAAUUACGGCAACCAUCUUAACCUGCCCAGAAGCUGGGCCUGAAAGAAAUGAGGCCAGGCUGAAGAGAAACAGCUAAGGACCGGUAGGAAUGCUAACAGACCACCUUCAACCGGCCCUGUUCUUCUCUCAGCUGCUAGUAAAAAGGGUUGGAAGAUUUAAGGAAUCUGUUCCUGUCUCACUGGUCCUGGCCAACCCCAGAAUCAACUCUCUUGAUUGGAAAUAAACAGGAUCUUCCUUUUGUCCCCAGGAAUGUGAUGGAGGAAGGACUCUAAGGCAAGGGCCCUCUUCUGCCAAAGAAUGAUAAUAACAACAAUGAUGACAGUAGAAAUAAAAUAUUACCCUCUUCAUCAAGGGUGAAGAAGAAUGUCCAGUUGUGUGUUGAACCUUCUUGCCUCGGUGUGCCCCUCUGAUUGCUGCAAUGUGUGAUUUCUAAAGCAGUGAGUUUUGGAUGACCAUCAGUCAUCAGUUUUGGGGGGAUCUGAGAAAAAUAUAGAAGCCAGGACACCACCUUACUGAACUGGCUACCAUAUAUUUUAGUUGAAUCCACAGGUCCAGAAUGUUCAGCCGAGGUCUGAUCUGAACUUUCUAUUUUGUGGCCCUCCUGAGUACACUUGUACAAACUGGGCUGUAUGCUUCAAUGUGGGGUUCAGAGACUAGGAUCACAAGGACAGCACUUCUUGUUGACAAGAACUGCAAAUGACAGGGUGUAAGCCUGACCACCUCUCCUAUAGGGUGUGUAUCAGUCUGGUCUAGCCCUAGUGCCUACCAUGGAGCCUGGUCCCUGGAAGCCAGGGCAGAGGCUGUGGAGUAAGGCAGGGCAGCACAGGGGAUGUGGACAGCUCACUUCUCAUCAGUCCCUGAGUGGGGUUAGGGGACCAAGGAAGAACCUGGAUGAUGGCAUGAGCCUAUCUUGUCCCUCCAUCCUCCGAGGGCAGGAGUGGGAAAAGCUGCCUUCAAGACAGAGCCCCAACAAGACUUGUCUCCUAUGUUGCUUCUUGUAAACUCCUUGUAAAGGAAUCAUUUGUUUACCUCCCUCCCUAAGGGAGGCCCAGAAGAAGAACUUCACCUUUACGAUUUCUAUGUGAUUUUCCUUUUUGUUCAAGAUGGUGAUUGGGAGGCAAAAGGAGUCCACUCCCACCCCUUUCAAUUCCUGGGUCCAAGGACACAGAUUCUUUUUCUCCAUCUCCUUUCCCCCUCUUCCUUUUCCUCUCCUUUCUCCUCCUUCUACUCCUUAUUCUCUCAUUCUGAAGACUAACUUCUAAAGCUGAGGGCAGUAAAGAGAGCCGAAUCCAGUCUAUUUCUGCUCCCCCCUCAGCUACAUUCAAGAAAUUACUACUGUUGUGGUCUGGAGGUUUGUAUCUCCUCCUCUGCCCUCCAAAUCCCUUUGUGGAAAUCCUAGCUCUCAUGGUGAUGGCAUUAGAAGGUGGGGCAGGUGAUUAGGUCACCAGAGUGGUGCUCUCAUGAAUGGGAUUAAUGCUUUUAUAAAAGAGGCCCCAUGUGAAGGCACAGUGAAGACCGUUGUCUGUGAACCAGAGAGUGAGUCCUCACUAUACAGCUAAUCCCGGUUGCCUUUCUCUGGCAGCCCCUAGAACUGUGAAAAAUAAAUUUCUAUUGUUUAUAA
Molecule: long non-coding RNA, 2142 nt
Organism: Otolemur garnettii (small-eared galago)
Lineage: Eukaryota; Metazoa; Chordata; Mammalia; Primates; Galagidae
Exons: 3
Source: RefSeq, a predicted model, not a curated record